UGGGGAAUAUUAGGCAAUGGGGGAAACCCUGACCUAGCGACGCCGCGUGCAGGAAGAAGGUUUUCGGAUUGUAAACUGCUUUAGACAGGGAAGAAUAAAGACAGUACCUGUAGAAUAAGCUCCGGCUAACUACGUGCCAGCAGCCGCGGUAAUACGUAGGGAGCAAGCGUUAUCCGGAUUUAUUGGGUGUAAAGGGUGCGUAGACGGGAAAUUAAGUUAGUUGUGAAAUCCCUCGGCUUAACUGAGGAACUGCAACUAAAACUGGUUUUCUUGAGUGCUGGAGAGGAAAGUGGAAUUCCUAGUGUAGCGGUGAAAUGCGUAGAUAUUAGGAGGAACACCAGUGGCGAAGGCGACUUUCUGGACAGUAACUGACGUUGGGGCACGAAAGUGUGGGGAGCAAACAGGAUUAGAUACCCUGGUAGU
Molecule: ribosomal RNA, 423 nt
Filed under: uncultured Acetivibrio sp.
Lineage: Bacteria; Bacillati; Bacillota; Clostridia; Acetivibrionales; Acetivibrionaceae
Description: bacterial SSU rRNA
Rfam family: Bacterial small subunit ribosomal RNA
Source: RNAcentral